UCCCCGGUGGUCUAGUGGUUAGGAUGCGGUGUUUGCACUACUGGGGCCUGGGUUCGAUUCCCUAGUCUAGGAA
This 73-nucleotide transfer RNA is filed under the name Sus scrofa (pig). It matches the Rfam family "tRNA". Rfam says of the family: Transfer RNA (tRNA) molecules are approximately 80 nucleotides in length. Their secondary structure includes four short double-helical elements and three loops (D, anti-codon, and T loops). Lineage: Eukaryota; Metazoa; Chordata; Mammalia; Artiodactyla; Suidae. The record is from Rfam by way of RNAcentral.